RNAcentral lists this ribosomal RNA (467 nucleotides) under uncultured bacterium. RNAcentral describes it as "partial 16S ribosomal RNA". It matches the Rfam family "Bacterial small subunit ribosomal RNA", at positions 30 to 506 of the family's 1533-position model. The record is from RNAcentral.
AUUGAACGCUGGCGGCGUGCUUAACACAUGCAAGUCGAACGGAAAGGCCCUGCUUUUGUGGGGUGCUCGAGUGGCGAACGGGUGAGUAACACGUGAGUAACCUGCCCUUGACUUUGGGAUAACUUCAGGAAACUGGGGCUAAUACCGGAUAGGAGCUCCUGCUGCAUGGUGGGGGUUGGAAAGUUUCGGCGGUUGGGGAUGGACUCGCGGCUUAUCAGCUUGUUGGUGGGGUAGUGGCUUACCAAGGCUUUGACGGGUAGCCGGCCUGAGAGGGUGACCGGCCACAUUGGGACUGAGAUACGGCCCAGACUCCUACGGGAGGCAGCAGUGGGGAAUAUUGCACAAUGGGCGGAAGCCUGAUGCAGCAACGCCGCGUGCGGGAUGACGGCCUUCGGGUUGUAAACCGCUUUCGCCUGUGACGAAGCGUGAGUGACGGUAAUGGGGAAAGAAACACCGGCUAACUACGU